This 305-nucleotide ribosomal RNA is filed under the name uncultured bacterium. RNAcentral describes it as "bacterial SSU rRNA". It matches the Rfam family "Bacterial small subunit ribosomal RNA", at positions 338 to 640 of the family's 1533-position model. The record is from RNAcentral.
CCUACGGGAGGCAGCAGUGAGGAAUAUUGGUCAAUGGCCGGAAGGCUGAACCAGCCAAGCCGCGUGAGGGAGGAAGGCGCAGAGCGUCGCAGACCUCUUUUGCCGGGGGACAAAAGGCCGGACUCGUCCGGUCCUGAGGGUACCCGGAGAAAAAGCAUCGGCUAACUCCGUGCCAGCAGCCGCGGUAAUACGGAGGAUCCGAGCGUUAUCCGGAUUUAUUGGGUUUAAAGGGAGCGUAGAUGGGUUGUUAAGUCAGUUGUGAAAGUUUGCGGCUCAACCGUAAAAUUGCAAUUGAUACUGGCAGC